This 253-nucleotide ribosomal RNA is filed under the name uncultured bacterium. RNAcentral describes it as "partial 16S ribosomal RNA". It matches the Rfam family "Bacterial small subunit ribosomal RNA", at positions 524 to 776 of the family's 1533-position model. The record is from RNAcentral.
UACGUAGGGUGCGAGCGUUGUCCGGAAUUAUUGGGCGUAAAGGGCUCGUAGGCGGUUCGUCACGUCGGGAGUGAAAACUCGGGGCUUAACCCCGAGCCUGCUUCCGAUACGGGCAGACUAGAGGUAGGCAGGGGAGAGCGGAACUCCUGGUGUAGCGGUGGAAUGCGCAGAUAUCAGGAAGAACACCGGUGGCGAAGGCGGAUCUCUGGGCCUUACCUGACGCUCAGGUGCGAAAGCUAGGGGAGCGAACAGG